Molecule: ribosomal RNA, 506 nt
Filed under: uncultured bacterium
Lineage: Bacteria
Description: partial 16S ribosomal RNA
Rfam family: Bacterial small subunit ribosomal RNA
Source: RNAcentral
AGUGAACGCUGGCGGUAGGCCUAACACAUGCAGGUCGAACGGCAGCACAGAGGAGCUUGCUCCUUGGGUGGCGAGUGGCGGACGGGUGAGGAAUACAUCGGAAUCUACUCUGUCGUGGGGGAUAACGUAGGGAAACUUACGCUAAUACCGCAUACGGCCUACGGGUGAAAGCAGGGGAUCUUCGGACCUCGCGCGAUUGAAUGAGCCGAUGUCGGAUUAGCUAGUUGGCGGGGUAAAGGCCCACCAAGGCGACGAUCCGUAGCUGGUCUGAGAGGAGGGUCAGCCACACUGGGAGUGAGACACGGUCCAGACUCCUACGGGAGGCAGCAGUGGGGAAUAUUGGACAAUGGGCGCAAGCCUGAUCCAGCCAUACCGCGUGGGUGAAGAAGGCCUUCGGGUUGUAAAGCCCUUUUGUUGGGAAAGAAAUCCAUCUGGUUAAUACCCGGGUGGGAUGACGGUACCCAAAGAAUAAGCACCGGCUAACUUCGUGCCAGCAGCCGCAGUAA